AUCUCGCCUGAGUGGUUCUCCUGCACGCCUGCCUGUCAUUAGCAGUCGUGUUCGCAGCUGCUGCCCAGUCUUCCUCCGGAAUAGGGGAGGGAGAGGGAAUGAGAAGCUGCAGCGGCCGAGGAGUCACCGUGACCGUCCCGCCGCCACCCUCGGGCCCCCUCGGCCCCCGCGCCUCCGGGGAGCAGCCGGGGCUCGCCGCGCCUGACGCGUCCCGAGUCACACAGAAAUAAUGUUGAUAUUUGGAACCCAUGUCGAACUUCUAUGAAGAAAGGGCAACAAUGAUUGCAGCCGGGGAUUUGCAGGAAUUUGUUCCUUUUGGUCGAGACCACUGCAAGCACCACCCUAAUGCUUUGAACCUUCAGCUUCGCCAGCUGCAGCCAGCGUCGGAGUUAUGGUCUUCUGAUGGUGCCGCUGGCUUGGUGGGAUCCCUUCAGGAGGUUACGAUCCACGAGAAACAGAAGGAGAGCUGGCAGUUAAGGAAAGGCGUAAGUGAAAUUGGAGAAGAAGUAGAUUACGAUGAGGAGCUCUAUGUGGCUGGAAAUAUGGUUAUCUGGAGCAAAGGAAGUAAAAGCCAGGCAUUGGCUGUUUAUAAGGCGUUUACAGUUGACAGUCCUGUUCAACAGGCAUUGUGGUGUGACUUCAUUAUAUCACAGGAUAAGUCUGAAAAGGACUAUGGUAGUGAUGAAGUAGAAAAAUGCAUAUGUAUAUUGCAAAGCUCAUGUAUUAACAUGCAUAGCAUAGAAGGAAAGGAUUACAUAGCUUCUUUACCUUUUCAGGUUGCAAAUGUUUGGCCCACGAAGUAUGGCUUGUUGUUUGAACGAAGCAGCUCUUCACAUGAGGUUCCUCCAGGCCCACCCAGAGAACCUUUACCCACUAUGUUCAGCAUGCUGCAUCCACUAGAUGAAAUCACACCUCUUGUUUGUAAAUCUGGAAGUCUUUUUGGUUCAUCACGGGUACAAUAUGUUGUAGAUCAUGCAAUGAAAAUUGUUUUUCUCAACACUGAUCCCUCCGUUGUAAUGACCUAUGACACCGUUCAAGGUUUGCAUUCUGUGUGGGCUCUCCGGAGAGUCAAAACAGAGGAAGAGAAUGUUGUUUUAAAGUUCUCUGAACAGGGGGGCACCCCACAGAAUGUGGCCACCAGCAGCUCGCUCACAGCACACCUCAGAAGCCUCUCCAGGGGAGACUCCCCCGUGGCUUCCCCCUUCCAGAACUACUCCUCCAUCCACAGCCAGAGUCGCUCAGCCUCCUCGCCCAGCCUACACUCCCGCUCACCUUCCAUUUCCAACAUGGCAGCUCUCAGUCGUGCUCAUUCUCCAGCCUUAGGAGUGCACUCUUUUUCAGGGGUGCAAAGGUUCAACCUUUCAAGCCAUAAUCAGUCUCCAAAGAGACACAGUAUUUCUCAUUCUCCAAAUAGUAAUUCUAACGGCUCCUUUCUUGCACCAGAAACAGAGCCAAUUGUUCCUGAACUUUGUAUGGACCAUUUAUGGACAGAAACGAUUACUAAUAUAAGGGAGAAAAAUUCACAGGCCUCAAAAGUCUUUAUUACAUCUGAUCUAUGUGGGCAGAAGUUCUUGUGCUUUUUAGUAGAGUCCCAGCUCCAGUUACGAUGUGUAAAGUUUCAAGAGAGUAAUGAUAAAACCCAGCUCAUCUUUGGCUCCGUCACCAACAUACAGGCAAAGGAUGCAGCUCCAGUGGAGAAGAUAGACACUAUGCUGGUCCUGGAAGGCAGUGGAAACCUGGUGCUGUACACAGGAGUGGUUCGGGUGGGAAAGGUUUUUAUUCCUGGGCUGCCAGCUCCCUCCCUGACAAUGUCGAACACGAUGCCUCGGCCCAGCACCCCACUUGACAGCGUUAGUACUCCUAACCCUCUGAGUAAGCUGCUUGGAUCCCUGGAUGAGGCUGUUCUAUUGUCCCCAGUUCCAGAACUAAGGGAUUCUUCAAAGCUUCAUGAUUCUCUCUAUAAUGAGGAUUGUACUUUCCAACAGCUUGGAACUUACAUUCAUUCUAUAAGAGACCCUGUCCAUAACAGGGUAACGCUAGAACUGAGUAAUGGCUCCAUGGUUAGGAUCACUAUUCCUGAAAUUGCCACCUCUGAAUUAGUACAAACUUGUUUGCAAGCAAUUAAAUUUAUCCUGCCAAAAGAAGUAGCUGUUCAGAUGCUUGUCAAGUGGUACAGUGUCCACAGUGCUCCAGGAGGACCCAGUUAUCACUCAGAGUGGAACUUAUUUGUGACUUGUCUCAUGAACAUGAUGGGUUAUAACACAGACCGCUUAGCAUGGACAAGGAAUUUCGACUUUGAAGGAUCACUUUCCCCAGUCAUUGCACCCAAAAAAGCAAGACCUUCUGAGACAGGAUCUGAUGAUGACUGGGAAUAUUUACUAAAUUCAGACUACCACCAGAAUGUUGAGUCUCAUCUUUUGAAUAGAUCUUUAUGUUUGAGUCCUUUGGAAGUUUCACAGAUGAAGGAUGAGGAUUUGUCACAGAAUCUCAGUUUGGACUCUUCUACACUUCUUUUCACUCACAUACCUGCAAUUUUUUUUGUUCUUCACCUGGUCUAUGAGGAGCUUAAGUUGAACACUCUAAUGGGAGAAGGAAUUCGUUCACUUGUUGAACUUCUCGUUCAGUUGGCAAGGGACUUAAAAUUGGAGGCUUAUGUAGAUCAUUACUAUAGAGAUUACCCAGCACUUGUCAGAACUACUGGACAAGUGUGUACAAUUGAUCAAGGACAAACAGGAUUUAUGCAUCAUCCAUCAUUUUUUACUUCUGAGCCACCAAGUAUUUAUCAGUGGGUGAGUUCUUGUCUGAAGGGUGAAGGAAUGCCACCCUAUCCUUACCUCCCCGUCAUCUGUGAAAGAAGCAGACUUGUAGUCUUGAGUAUUGCACUCUACAUACUUGGUGAUGAAAGUUCUGUUUCUGAUGAAUCCUCACAGUAUUUAUCCAGAAUAAGUAUAGCCCCACAGAAGUCACAAGCAGAGCAAGAGGAGAACAGGUUUAGUUUCAGGCAUUCUACAUCAGUUUCUAGUCUAGCUGAGAGAUUAGUCGUCUGGAUGACUAAUGUAGGUUUCGCUUUAAGAGACUUGGAAACCCUUCCCUUUGGAAUUGCUCUUCCCAUCAGAGAUGCGAUUUAUCACUGUCGGGAGCAGCCUGCUUCAGACUGGCCAGAAGCUGUUUGCCUGUUGAUUGGGCGUCAGGAUCUUUCCAAGCAGGCCUGUGAAGGAAACUUGCCCAAAGGGAAAUCUUCUGUUACUCAGGUGCUCUCAUCAGAUGUUCCUUCAGGAACAGAAACUGAGGAGGAAGAUGAUGGCAUGAAUGACAUGAAUCAGGAGGUGAUGUCACUAAUAUGGAGUGAAGACUUAAGGGUGCAGGAUGUGCGAAGGCUUCUUCAGAGUGCACAUCCUGUCCGCGUCAAUGUGGUGCAGUACCCAGAGCUCAGUGACCACGAGUUCAUUGAGGAAAAAGAGAACAGAUUGCUCCAGUUGUGUCAGCGAACUAUGGCUCUUCCAGUAGGACGGGGAAUGUUUACCUUGUUUUCAUACCAUCCUGUUCCAACGGAGCCAUUGCCUAUUCCUAAGUUGAAUUUGACUGGGCGGGCACCCCCUCGGAACACAACAGUAGACCUGAACAGUGGCAACAUCGAUGUGCCUCCCAACAUGACCAGCUGGGCCAGCUUCCAUAAUGGUGUGGCUGCCGGCCUGAAGAUAGCCCCUGCCUCCCAGAUCGACUCAGCCUGGAUUGUCUACAAUAAGCCCAAGCACGCCGAGUUAGCCAAUGAGUAUGCUGGCUUUCUCAUGGCCCUGGGUCUGAACGGGCACCUUACCAAGCUGGCUACUCUCAAUAUCCAUGACUACCUGACCAAGGGUCAUGAGAUGACAAGCAUUGGACUGCUCCUUGGUGUUUCUGCUGCUAAACUAGGCACCAUGGAUAUGUCGAUUACACGGCUUCUUAGCAUCCACAUUCCUGCUCUCCUGCCCCCAACGUCCACAGAGCUUGAUGUUCCUCACAACGUCCAAGUGGCUGCAGUGGUCGGCAUCGGCCUUGUUUAUCAAGGGACAGCUCAUCGGCAUACCGCAGAAGUCUUGUUGGCUGAAAUAGGACGGCCCCCUGGUCCUGAAAUGGAAUACUGCACGGACAGAGAGUCUUACUCUUUGGCUGCUGGCUUGGCUCUGGGCAUGGUUUGCUUGGGGCACGGCAGUAAUUUGAUAGGUAUGUCUGAUCUCAAUGUGCCCGAGCAGCUUUAUCAGUACAUGGUCGGAGGCCAUAGGCGCUUUCAAGCAGGGAUGCACAGGGAGAAACAUAAAUCUCCAAGUUAUCAAAUCAAAGAAGGAGAUACCAUAAAUGUGGAUGUAACUUGUCCAGGUGCCACUCUCGCUUUGGCCAUGAUCUACUUAAAAACCAAUAACAGAUCCAUUGCAGAUUGGCUCCGAGCUCCCGACACCAUGUAUUUGCUGGACUUUGUGAAGCCAGAAUUUCUCUUACUUAGGACGCUUGCUCGAUGCCUGAUUUUGUGGGAUGAUAUUUUACCAAAUUCCAAGUGGGUUGAUAGCAACGUUCCUCAAAUUAUAAGAGAAAAUAGUAUCUCUCUCAGUGAAAUCGAAUUGCCGUGUUCAGAGGAUUUGAAUUUGGAAACUUUGUCGCAGGCACAUGUCUACAUAAUUGCAGGAGCUUGUUUGUCUCUGGGUUUUCGAUUUGCUGGCUCAGAAAACUUAUCAGCAUUUAACUGUUUGCAUAAAUUUGCAAAAGAUUUUAUGACUUAUUUGUCCGCACCUAAUGCUUCUGUAACAGGUCCUUACAACCUGGAGACUUGCCUGAGUGUGGUGCUGCUGUCUCUCGCCAUGGUGAUGGCUGGCUCGGGGAACCUGAAGGUUUUGCAGCUUUGUCGCUUCUUGCACAUGAAAACAGGUGGUGAAAUGAACUAUGGUUUCCACUUAGCCCAUCACAUGGCCCUUGGACUUCUGUUUUUGGGAGGAGGAAGGUACUCUUUGAGCACAUCGAACUCUUCCAUUGCCGCUCUCCUCUGUGCCCUUUACCCGCACUUCCCAGCUCACAGCACUGACAACCGGUAUCACCUCCAGGCUCUCCGGCACCUGUAUGUGCUGGCUGCAGAACCGAGACUUCUUGUGCCCGUGGAUGUGGACACAAACACGCCCUGCUAUGCCCUCUUAGAAGUGACCUAUAAGGGCACUCAGUGGUAUGAACAAACCAAAGAAGAACUGAUGGCUCCUACCCUUCUUCCAGAACUCCACCUUUUAAAGCAGAUUAAAGUUAAAGGCCCACGAUACUGGGAACUGCUCAUAGAUUUAAGCAAGGGAACCCAACACUUGAAGUCAAUUCUUUCCAAGGACGGGGUUUUAUAUGUUAAGCUCAGAGCGGGUCAGCUCUCGUACAAGGAAGAUCCAAUGGGGUGGCAAAGUCUGUUGGCCCAGACUGUUGCUAACAGGAACUCUGAAGCUCGGGCUUUCAAGCCUGAAACGAUUUCAGCAUUCACUUCUGAUCCAGCACUUCUGUCAUUUGCCGAAUAUUUCUGCAAACCAACUGUGAACAUGGGUCAGAAACAGGAAAUUCUGGAUCUCUUUUCUUCAGUGCUAUAUGAAUGUGUGACCCAGGAGACCCCGGAGAUGUUACCUGCAUACAUAGCAAUGGAUCAGGCUGUAAGAAGACUGGGAAGAAGAGAAAUGUCCGAGACAUCUGAACUUUGGCAGAUAAAGUUGGUGUUAGAGUUUUUCAGCUCCAGAAGCCAUCAGGAGCGGCUGCAGAACCACCCUAAGCGAGGGCUCUUUAUGAACUCGGAAUUCCUCCCUGUUGUCAAAUGCACUAUUGAUAAUACUCUGGACCAGUGGCUACAAGCUGGGGGUGAUGGGUGUGUGCACGCCUACCUCAACGGGCAGCCCUGCGAGGAGUCGCAGCUGAAAAUGCUGGCCUGUUUCCUCGUCUACCACUCAGUGCCAGCCCCACGGCACCUGCCGUCUAUAGGACUAGAAGGGAACACAAGUUUCGCAGAACUUCUCUUCAAAUUUAAACAGCUGAAGAUGCCAGUGCGAGCUUUGCUGAGAUUGGCUCCUUUGCUUCUUGGAAAUCCACAGCCAAUGCUUAUGUGAUCAUGUCUGGUGUGGGUGGAUGGUGUAACCCGGAUGCUUUGACAAGAUUUGGAGACUGUUUUAAAUUGUGAAUGGAGAUAUGUUGGAUCCACCGGAUGGUACUGAAGUCAAGGAGGAGAACUCCACAGACGAUGAUCCCAAACCCCGCAGCUGGCAGUCUCCUCGCUGUGCCGGGCACUCCCUGAGCACUGCCCUCAGAUGACCAGAGCUUACGGAAGCGCUUGCAGCGUUGACCUGGAUUGUGAAAGCGCCAAAAUGGAAAGCUUACCUCCUUUAUCUACCUCCUGGAGAUGUGGAGACAAAUGAGAGAAAGAAAACUUAUGUGGAAAAAACUGAAAAACGUUACCCAAAAGUUGGAAAUAAGGAUAAAGGAUGACUCCGUGUCCUUUCAAUGUCCUACCAGAAAAACCUGCUUUGUAAGUAUCAUUACUCCAGAUGGGAGAAAUCCACGGGGGCUUCAGUUGUGGGGUCCUCAUCACCGAGACCAUCCUUUUAUCUUUAGGAGGGUGGCGGCAGGAGGAUAGGGGCUAUAGCGAUCUAGAAUCGGUCUCCUUUUGCAUUUCCUCGGGCCCAAAGUUGAAACAGGGUUCCGUUCUACGAACCUCUGAAAGUGGUUCUUCUUUGUCUAAAACCAUUUACCGAACAUUAACAAAAAUCACCUGUAAGGAAAAUAAAACUGAGGGGACCUGGCUAUACUCUCGGUCCUUGAGCUUAAGUUUCUGAGGCUGUCCAGAUGGCGGGGGCUCUGGUAGAAGUUGGUUCUCCCAGGGGAGUUCGUUUGAGGCAUGGAUCCACUUUCCUGGCGGGGAAGGGCUGCAGCCCAGAGCCGACAGGGCUGGACCAGGUGCGGGGCAGGGGCGGGGUUACUCCGUGAGUCCAUGACAGACUCUGGCCUGAGAGCCGUUCGUCCUAGGGUUCAGGGGAAUCGUGGAACAUGCUGUUUUGUGCAGACACCUUCUCUUUCUCAGUGUUGCAACUUUUAAGGGUAUUUGUGUCCUGGGUCUCAUUUAAAAUGCUCCUUUUUACAAGGUGCUUUUGUUAGGAGCAAAAUCCACGGAUGGUGUGUUUCUAACCUGCUGUGUUGUUCACCUCAUGGAAAAAUGGGCUUGUUUUGCAUUAUUGACUCAGUGGAAAAUAUUACCUUGGUGGGGAUGGAGACGGGGUUACCAUUUUAAGAAAUGGUUUUUUAAUUAAAAAAAAUUUUUUGGGGGCCGUGCCACAGGCCACGUGGGAUCUUAGUUCCCCAACCAGGGAUCGAACCUGCGUCCCCUGCCUUGGAAGGGUGGAGUCUUAACCACUGGACCGCCAGGGAAGUCCCGGGGCUACCAUUUUUGAAAUAACUACCUAGGUUUACCUGUGCAGGUAGAAUGCAGCAUCUCCUAUUAACCACAAAUGGAUUUUGAAAAUUUACACAGAAUGUGAUAAAUGCAAUGGGGAUGACUCCUCUCCCCUUCCCCAUUCCUUCCUGGGACAUAUAUGUAUGUAUCUACCCUCCCACACCCCAACACACACAAGAGGACAUUUUUGAAAUAUGACGCGAUACUACAAAGAGGCUCUUUUAGCAUAAAAGCACAGAGGAACCCUGCUCUGGUGAGUUUAAUUUUGCAGUCUGAUUGUCUUGUGGUUACUCUACCCUGAAGCUAGACCACAGUGAGGGCCUCAAUCUCCCCACCCGACCACACCAAAGUAGGGGAACGGGCCACGGGGAACAAAAGAAGAGCUCCCCCCCGCAGCGCCCACGAGAGGGUGACCACAGGAGCCUGGCUUGGGGUGGGCAAUGACUGCUUCCAACGCCCCCGUCCCUGUGGGUGCUGUAAGGGUUGGAACGUAUGGCCUGAUGUGAAGUAAAGGACGGUCCUGUGCAUCCAUCUGGGCUCUGAGUGUGCUUGAAUAGCUACCGGCAAAGUAAACCGUUGGAGAUGGACGAUUACCCUCUCCCGGCCGAUUGGUGGCAGCGUGCUUGGUGACGUGGCUGGCCAGUCAGACAUAUUUCCACCAAAUAGCCCUGCGAGGAGGGAAUGUUGCUUUGACCUCGUUGUAGCACACUUCUCUCCCCCCGUGCCCUUCACCACCUAUCUAUCCCGCUGGUAAUCUUCUAAGUUAAAUUUUAAAAGUGAGUCCCCUGGGGCUUCCCUGGUGGCGCAGUGGUUGGGAGUCCG
RNA transcript from Aethalodelphis obliquidens (Pacific white-sided dolphin), 8254 nucleotides. It is a transcript of the gene named anaphase promoting complex subunit 1, with no coding region annotated. NCBI's taxonomy places the organism in Eukaryota, Metazoa, Chordata, Mammalia, Artiodactyla, Delphinidae. The record is from RefSeq and is a predicted model, not a curated record. The transcript has 50 exons.